Molecule: ribosomal RNA, 262 nt
Filed under: uncultured bacterium
Lineage: Bacteria
Description: partial 16S ribosomal RNA
Rfam family: Bacterial small subunit ribosomal RNA
Source: RNAcentral
GUCCACACUGUAAACGAUGAAUGCUAGGUGUGGGGGAGCAAUCUUCCGUGCCGCAGUUAACACAAUAAGCAUUCCACCUGGGGAGUACGGCCGCAAGGUUGAAACUCAAAGGAAUUGACGGGAGCCCGCACAAGCAGUGGAGUAUGUGGUUUAAUUCGACGCAACGCGAAGAACCUUACCAGGACUUGACAUCCCAGGAAUCCGGAGUAAUGUCUGGAGUGCCCUUCGGGGAAUCUGGUGACAGGUGGUGCAUGGUUGUCGU